RNAcentral lists this unclassified non-coding RNA (1347 nucleotides) under uncultured Neocallimastigales. RNAcentral describes it as "partial contains internal transcribed spacer 1, 5.8S ribosomal RNA, internal transcribed spacer 2, and large subunit ribosomal RNA". The stretch from base 591 to 1347 matches the Rfam family "Eukaryotic large subunit ribosomal RNA", at positions 1 to 617 of the family's 3401-position model. The record is from RNAcentral. Lineage: Eukaryota; Fungi; Neocallimastigomycota; Neocallimastigomycetes; Neocallimastigales.
AAAAUAAUCCUACCCUUUGUGAAUUUUGUUUGUUUGAAUAAUUUUUUUUUAAAAAAUUAUUGGAGUCUUUCCCUUUAGGUUUGCUUUUGAGUUUGUAAAAGAAUUCGAAAACAUCUAAAGGGGAUGGUCAAUAGUUUUUUUGAAAAAAGACAUUUUUUAAAAUUAAACUUUUUGUAUUCAUUUGUCUAAAAAUUAUUUUUAUAAUAUAAAAACAACUUUUGACAAUGGAUCUCUUGGUUCUCGCAACGAUGAAGAACGCAGCAAAAUGCGAUAAGUAGUGUGAAUUGCAGAAUACGUGAAUCAUCGAAUCUUUGAACGCAUAUUGCACUUUUUUAGUUUACUAAAAAAGUAUGUCUGUUUGAGUAUCAGUAAAAUAUUCUCAUAAAAAUCAUUGUAUUUUUAUGGUUAUGAGUGUUUUACAACGAUACAAGUUGUUUCACUUUAAAUUUUUUUUUAAUAUUGAAAUUUUUCUAAUUUUAAUAAUUAAAAUUGGAUAAAAUUUUCCCGUCAAAAGGAAUAACCUAAACAAUUUUAAAUGAUUAAUUUUAGCAAAAUUUUCGUAAAAAAGGAAAAUUUUUAUUAAAAUAACUUGAUCUCAAAUCAGAUAAGAGUACCCGCUGAACUUAAGCAUAUCAAUAAGCGGAGGAAAAGAAACUAACAAGGAUUCCCUUAGUAACGGCGAGUGAAGCGGGAAGAGCUCAAAUUUGAAAUCUUCAAGGUUUUACCUUGACGAAUUGUAGUUUAAAGAAGUGUUUUCUGCUGAAGUUUUGGUAAAAGUUCUUUGGAAUAGGACAUCAUAGAGGGUGAGAAUCCCGUAUUUGACCAUUAUUUUCAGCUUUGUGAUACACUUUCAAAGAGUCGGAUUGUUUGGGAAUGCAGUCCAAAAUGGGUGGUAAAUUUCAUCUAAAGCUAAAUAUUGGCGAGAGACCGAUAGCGAACAAGUACCGUGAGGGAAAGAUGAAAAGAACUUUGAAAAGAGAGUUAAACAGUACGUGAAAUUGUCAAAAGGGAAGCGUUUGACACCAGUGUUGUUUUCUCGAAAAUCAAUUAAAAAUGGCUCGAUUUUGUAUCGCUGAGACCUUAAAAGCUCACUGUACGUUUUUCGUGUCUUUUUUAAUGCACUUUUCGUUUAACAAGUCAACAUCAGUUUCCUUUGUUGUAAAAGGGUCAUUGGAAAGUGGCUUUCUUUUCGGAGAAAGUGUUUAUAGCCUUUGGCCUCUGCAAUCGGAGAGACUGAGGUCUGCAGCGUAGACUCUUCGGGGUUAGGUACAUUUGUGCUAAGUUAUAGCUUUUUAUAGACAACUUGUUGACUAUAAUUAGUCUCGUAGCUACUCGCUUAUGCUAUUU